GACGAACGCUGGCGGCGUGCUUAACACAUGCAAGUCGAACGGAAAGGCCUCUUUCGGGGGGUACUCGAGUGGCGAACGGGUGAGUAACACGUGAGUAACCUGCCCUUGACUUUGGGAUAACUUCAGGAAACUGGGGCUAAUACCGGAUAGGAGCUCCUGCUGCAUGGUGGGGGUUGGAAAGUUUCGGCGGUUGGGGAUGGACUCGCGGCUUAUCAGCUUGUUGGUGGGGUAGUGGCUUACCAAGGCUUUGACGGGUAGCCGGCCUGGGAGGGUGACCGGCAACAUGGGGACUGGGAUACGGCCCAGACUCCUACGGGAGGAAGCAGUGGGGAAUAUUGCACAAUGGGUGGAAGCCUGAUGCAGCAACGCCGCGUGCGGGAUGACGGCCUUCGGGUUGUAAACCGCUUUCGCCUGUGACGAAGCGUGAGUGACGGUAUGGGUAAAGAAGCACCGGCUAACUACGUG
This 465-nucleotide ribosomal RNA is filed under the name uncultured bacterium. Its description in RNAcentral is "partial 16S ribosomal RNA". It matches the Rfam family "Bacterial small subunit ribosomal RNA", at positions 28 to 507 of the family's 1533-position model. The record is from RNAcentral.